This 406-nucleotide ribosomal RNA is filed under the name uncultured bacterium. RNAcentral describes it as "partial 16S ribosomal RNA". It matches the Rfam family "Bacterial small subunit ribosomal RNA", at positions 29 to 526 of the family's 1533-position model. The record is from RNAcentral.
AUUGAACGCUGGCGGCAGGCUUAACACAUGCAAGUCGAGCGAGCGGCGGACGGGUGAGUAACGUCUGGGAAACUGCCAGAAGGAGGGGGUUAACUACUGGAAACGGUAGCUAAUACCGCAUACCAUCAGAUGUGCCCAGAUGGGAUUGGCUAGUAGGUGGUGUAAUGGCUCACCAAGGCGCCGAUCACUAGCGGGUCUGAGAGGGUGACCAGCGACACUGGAACUGAGACACGGUCCAGACUCCGACGGGAGGCAGCAGUGGGGAAUAUUGCACAAUGGGGGCAAGCCUGAUGCAGCCAUGCCGCGUGUGUGAAGAAGGCCUUCGGGUUGUAAAGCACUUUCAGCGAGGAGGCGUUACGCGCAGAAGAAGCACCGGCUAACUCCGUGCCAGCAGCCGCGGUAAUAC